GGGGACGUUUUGGAUUAGACAGGAUGUUCGGUGAAUGCAAGCUGCGAGUCCGAGAGCUGUUCUCGGUCAUCAACGAGCAAAACAAAUUAAAUGCUAACAAUAAUGUAAUUAAAGCAAACUUCGCUCCUGCAUACGCAGUUGCAGCGUAAUUCUUUAAUGAAUAGCUACUCAUAGAGUCCAGCUUGCCGACUUUGUGAGUCCAUCAUGCAAGCCGCAGUGCGUCGAUGACGGUAAACGCAUCAAGACAACCGUUAAGGGUUUAGAGUUUCCCUCAAAUAAAACCUUGGGCUAAGUCAUAAAGGUUCUGAUUUUUUCCCGACUUAGCCGAGAAAAUGAAAAUCUACACUCGUAGAAGUUUGUCUUUAUCCAUUUUGGACAGGGGUUCAACUCCCCUCGUCUCCAU
Molecule: transfer-messenger RNA, 403 nt
Filed under: human gut metagenome
Rfam family: transfer-messenger RNA
About the family: Bacterial tmRNA, also known as 10Sa RNA or SsrA, is named for its dual tRNA and mRNA-like properties. Its role is to liberate the mRNA from a stalled ribosome. To accomplish this part of the tmRNA is used as a reading frame that ends in a translation stop signal.
Source: RNAcentral